RNAcentral lists this ribosomal RNA (486 nucleotides) under uncultured bacterium. Its description in RNAcentral is "partial 16S ribosomal RNA". It matches the Rfam family "Bacterial small subunit ribosomal RNA", at positions 30 to 507 of the family's 1533-position model. The record is from RNAcentral.
AUUGAACGCUGGCGGCAUGCCUUACACAUGCAAGUCGAACGGCAGCACGGGUGCUUGCACCUGGUGGCGAGUGGCGAACGGGUGAGUAAUACAUCGGAACAUGUCCUGUAGUGGGGGAUAGCCCGGCGAAAGCCGGAUUAAUACCGCAUACGAUCUACGGAUGAAAGCGGGGGACUUUCGGGCCUCGCGCUAUGGUGUUGGCCGAUGGCUGAUUAGCUAGUUGGUGGGGUAAAGGCCUACCAAGGCGACGAUCAGUAGCUGGUCUGAGAGGACGACCAGCCACACUGGAACUGAGACACGGCCCAGACUCCUACGGGAGGCAGCAGUGGGGAAUUUUGGACAAUGGGCGAAAGCCUGAUCCAGCAAUGCCGCGUGUGUGAAGAAGGCCUUCGGGUUGUAAAGCACUUUUGUCCGGGAAGAAAGCCUUUGCCCUAAUACGGUCGGGGGAUGACGGUACCGGAAGAAUAAGCACCGGCUAACUACGUG